Molecule: ribosomal RNA, 373 nt
Filed under: uncultured organism
Description: partial 16S ribosomal RNA
Rfam family: Bacterial small subunit ribosomal RNA
Source: RNAcentral
GUAGGUGGGCAAGCGUUGUCCGGAAUUAUUGGGCGUAAAGCGCGCGCAGGGCGGUCCUUUAAGUCUGAUGUGAAAGCCCACGGCUCAACCGUGGAGGGUCAUUGGAAACUGGGGGACUUGAGUACAGAAGAGGGAAGCGGAAUUCCAAGUGUAGCGGUGAAAUGCGUAGAGAUUUGGAGGAACACCAGUGGCGAAGGCGGCUUUCUGGUCUGUAACUGACGCUGAGGCGCGAAAGCGUGGGGAGCAAACAGGAUUAGAUACCCUGGUAGUCCACGCCGUAAACGAUGAGUGCUAAGUGUUAGGGGGUUUCCGCCCCUUAGUGCUGCAGCUAACGCAUUAAGCACUCCGCCUGGGGAGUACGGCCGCAAGGCUG